Molecule: ribosomal RNA, 253 nt
Filed under: uncultured bacterium
Lineage: Bacteria
Description: partial 16S ribosomal RNA
Rfam family: Bacterial small subunit ribosomal RNA
Source: RNAcentral
UACGAAGGGGGCUAGCGUUGCUCGGAAUUACUGGGCGUAAAGCGCACGUAGGCGGCUUCUUAAGUCGGUGGUGAAAUCCUGGAGCUCAACUCCAGAACUGCCUUCGAUACUGGGAAGCUCGAGUCCGGGAGAGGUGAGUGGAACUGCGAGUGUAGAGGUGAAAUUCGUAGAUAUUAGGAAGAACACCAGUGGCGAAGGCGGCUCACUGGCCCGGUACUGACGCUGAGGCGCGAAAGCGUGGGGAGCAAACAGG